Molecule: ribosomal RNA, 460 nt
Filed under: uncultured bacterium
Lineage: Bacteria
Description: partial 16S ribosomal RNA
Rfam family: Bacterial small subunit ribosomal RNA
Source: RNAcentral
CCUACGGGAGGCAGCAGUGAGGAAUAUUGGUCAAUGGACGCAAGUCUGAACCAGCCAUGCCGCGUGCAGGAAGACGGCUCUAUGAGUUGUAAACUGCUUUUGUACGAGGGUAAACGCAGAUACGCGUAUCUUUCUGAAAGUCUCGUACGAAUAAGGAUCGGCGAACUACGGUACAGCAGCCGCGGUAAUACGGAGGAGUCAAGCGUUAUCCAGAUUUAUUGGGUUUAAUGGGUGCGUAGGCGGUCGGAUAAGUUAGCGGUGAAAUCCCGAGGCUCAACUUCGGAAUUGCCUCUGAUACUGUUAGGCUAGAGAGUAGGUGCGGUAAGCGGAAUGUAUGGUGUAGCGGUGAAAUGCUUAGAGAUCAUAAAGAACACCGAUUGCGAAGGCAGCUUACCAAGCUACUUCUGACGUUGAGGCACGAAAGCGUGGGGAGCAAACAGGAUUAGAUACCCCAGUAGUC